This 433-nucleotide ribosomal RNA is filed under the name uncultured cyanobacterium. RNAcentral describes it as "bacterial SSU rRNA". It matches the Rfam family "Bacterial small subunit ribosomal RNA", at positions 83 to 539 of the family's 1533-position model. Lineage: Bacteria; Bacillati; Cyanobacteriota. The record is from RNAcentral.
GAAAAUGUGAUAGUGGCUCACCGGGUGAGUAACGCGUAAGAAUCUACCUCAAGGACGGGGACAACAGCUGGAAACGGCUGCUAAAACCCGAUGUGCCGCAAGGUGAAAUAUUUAUAGCCUAGAGAAGAGCUUGCGUCUGAUUAGCUAGUUGGUGGGGUAAGAGCCUACCAAGGCGACGAUCAAUAGCUGGUCUGAGAGGAUGAGCAGCCACACUGGGACUGAGACACGGCCCAGACUCCUACGGGAGGCAGCAGUGGGGAAUUUUCCGCAAUGGGCGAAAGCCUGUUUUUAGCAACGCCGCGUGAGGGAGGAAGGCUCUUGGGUUGUAAACCUCUUUUGCUUUGGGAACCAAGAUCUGACGGUACCAAGCGAAUCUGCAUCGGCUAACUCCGUGCAGCAGCCGCGGUUAAUCCGAGGAUGCAAGCCGUUUAUC